AGCAGUGUAGCCUAGUGGAUAGAGCAAAGGGCUGGGAGUCAGAGGACCUGGGUUCUAAUCCCAGCUCUGCCU
RNAcentral lists this transfer RNA (72 nucleotides) under Ornithorhynchus anatinus (platypus). It matches the Rfam family "tRNA". Rfam says of the family: Transfer RNA (tRNA) molecules are approximately 80 nucleotides in length. Their secondary structure includes four short double-helical elements and three loops (D, anti-codon, and T loops). The record is from Rfam by way of RNAcentral. Lineage: Eukaryota; Metazoa; Chordata; Mammalia; Monotremata; Ornithorhynchidae.